Molecule: non-coding RNA, 25 nt
Filed under: Rattus norvegicus (Norway rat)
Lineage: Eukaryota; Metazoa; Chordata; Mammalia; Rodentia; Muridae
Source: RNAcentral
GUUUAGAUAUCAGCCUUCUCUCAGA